ACUCAAAUGAAUUGACGGGGACCCACACAAGCAGUGGAUCAUGUUGUUUAAUUCGACAAUAAACGAGGAACCUUACCCAGGCUUGACAUUGAUGGAACCUACCGGAAACGGUGGGGUGCCCGCAAGGGACCUGAAAACAGGUGCUGCAUGGUUGUCGUCAGCUCGUGCCUUGAGGUGUUCGGUUAAGUCCGUUAACGAGCGCAACCCAUGUCGUUAGUUACUAUGUCUAACGAGACUGCCUGAGUUAAUCAGGAGGAAGGUGUGGAUGACGUCAAAUCAGCAUGGCCCUUAUGCCUGGGGCCACAAACAUGAUACAAUGGUCGGUACAAUGCGCAGCCACCCCGCGAGGGGGAGCCAAUCGCCAAAGCCGAUCUCAGUCCAGAUCGGAGUCUGCAACUCGACUCCGUGAAGUUGGAAUUGCUAGUAAUCGUGAAUCAGCUAUGUCACGGUGAAUCUGUUCCUGGGUCUUGUACACACCGCCCGU
This 484-nucleotide ribosomal RNA is filed under the name uncultured bacterium. RNAcentral describes it as "partial 16S ribosomal RNA". It matches the Rfam family "Bacterial small subunit ribosomal RNA", at positions 899 to 1397 of the family's 1533-position model. The record is from RNAcentral.